CCCGCCGGUGCCUCGGCCUAGGGGAAGAAAAAGUAUAAAAGUGCCUUGAGUACCAAAAGAUGACUUGGGAUCAAUCUGACUAACUGCAAGUACAAAUCUGGUGGAAAAUCAUCUUCUGCUGUUUCUUGAAUGGAGAAGCCAAAAGAGUUGGUGCAGAUGAUUCCUAAAGGAGUAGUAAAUUUACAUUUGCCUUCAGAAAAUGAGCUACUUUCCUGAAAUGAGUGAGAUCUAGAGGAAAGACUUGCUGGAUAGGAACAUGAGCAGGAUGGUAAAGCUCUUCCCAAAAGAAUUCAACUUCUUUCCCAGACCUGGUGUCUUCCUGCAGAGCCAGUAGCAGAUGAAAGAAACUUAAGACUUAUGUCUGUAAACUGGACUGACUGUCAGGGGAGAAGCAUCUUCAUCACCAGAUCUGUGAAGGACAAAAAAACGGAACAGGAUAUGAUCUGCCAGCUCAACACCUCAAGGGGAUCUCCAGGAUUGGACCCCCAUGGUUUUCUCCAGGAUAAAUCUUCUGGAAAGAAGAAAAGGGAAGAAAAUGAAACCAAAAUCAAAGCUAAGUCAAAUGUGGAUGUGGUCCCAUCUGGGUCCUUCACAAACAAAGCUCUCCUUAAAUGAGCUGGCUGCACGGGCACCUCGCUGGGGACGCCCCGGACGCCAAGGUCCCUCCAGGGAGCACAGUCAGGGGAAGGGGCUGCCCCGGGCUCCCCCCAAGGCUCCUGGGGGCGAGGGAAAGGGUUGAUCGACCUAGAUCCUGCAGAGGAGAAGGCCGGGUGCCCAGCACCUCGCCGGGGCUGUGGUAUCCUCCUGGAGGCAGCCAGAGGUCUCCCCUUAGGAUAAGGGGGCAUCUUCAGUUUUGGCUCAUUUUUAAUAAUCCGGAUAAUUAACGUAGAACAAAUCGGAUCCCUUCACUGCAGGGAACACGAUCCCUUUGUCAGCCCAGGAGAGAAAAGAGCAGAUUGGGUUAUCAGGGGCCACCGGCAGGUAACAGCGGGCUGCAGCCGGGUGCGGGGGCUGCGGGGCGUCCACCCCGCCAGGGCCGGGGCCUUCCACACAGGGAAGGACAAGUCCUCCCUUUCCCCAGUCAGCUACAAACGAAUAAUGCCGAAAUGUUAGAGAAAGGGGCAGAGGGUAAGGCUCCUCUGCCGUUCGGGUGACAGUCAGUGUAAUUUAGGCACCUCAGAAAGCAAGCAAAAAAGUGAGACAGGGUUCUUAACUGAUGUUAUACUUAUUUCUCUGCUUUGCAGUGUCAUCUCGGUACUUGGUUUUUUUGCUUUUUGGUUUUUGUUUUUUUUCGUUUUGGCAUACAUUACUAAAGAAAGGAGGGAACAAGCAGAAAGAAACCUUGCCUGACCACUGCAUUAACUGUGAUAAAGAAAGUCCCUGUUUAUUUGUGCACUUCUUACUUUCCUGCUGCACUUCAGUAACUUGCUCUCCCCACGAUGCCUCCAAAGGCACACCCCUGUCUCUGCGCGCACAUGCUUGUUUCAAGCCUCUGCCCCUCCACGCUGCCAUCAUAGCAUCUUUCUGUACCCGCCUUUAUACUUACACGUGUGGGAUGAUGUCGUUUUAUUCAUAAUGAUUAUAAUAAUGCCUAUAACAUAAUAUAUAUCAAUGUAAUUGUUACUGUAUUCAUAUCAGUAAUUAAUGCUAAUGUUUUUGAUACAUUUAUUAAUACAAUAUAUUAAUGAAUGCACUUCAGUUACACAGAGUUCUCAGGGAAGCUUUCAAAGGGAUGUCUUGUUUUUAUUAUGUUUCGCAGGUCUUAAUUAUUAUGUCUCCUUGGGCCAAAGAGAAGUAAGUGGUGGGUCGGAGCCAACUGGGGCUCGCAGAGUUUAAAGUCAGAGCACAGUGGAGCCCAGCAAUAGGGCACCUCACAGUAAAAAAGCAAUAGGAUGAGAGGCAAUGGGCACAAGCUGAAACACAGGACGUUCUGUGUGAAUAUAAGGAAAAACUUUUUAUAGUGACAGUGGCAGUGGCAGGGACCCUCUCCCAGUAGCUGCAGUAACAUCUGGAGCCCCAGUACUGGAGACUCCUGCACCUGCACCCACACUCCCUGCUGCUGCGAUCUAUUAAUAACGAAUGUCUCCAACACAUCUGCCAGGGGAACCACUCUCUUCCCCAGGCCAAGGGCAAGGGGAAGUUAAAUAAAAAUUGUUUUUCAGCCCAUACAUCCUAAGGGCUUGGAAAUUUUCUGAUCGCAGAAAGAAGGGGACAACCACAAGUAAACACAUACAUGUCUGUUCCCUAAGGAUAUACAGAGCACACGGCUCUGUGCCGGUUGAUGCUUGGAUGUGGUUGUGGCAGGUUUUGCACCAAUGAAUGCCUCCACUCUGGCCAGGCAAUGUUGAGCUGACCCCUCUGCCUGUAUAUAACUCCCUGCUUUUGGCAUCAUUGAUCCAGGCUCGGGAAGGUAGCAUAAACCUGAAUGAAUUGCUUGUCUGUUUUUCAGAUAUACACGGAUCUCUCCCUGCGGUAGAGGUAAAAAACAUGCAAGAUUCUUUCGGAAAGGCAAUGUCCCAGAUUUCCGCUGAUUGCAAAACGCUGCAGCCUACAUUGUGUAGUCAGAAGUGCUGCAGCCUGGAUAGCCUCUGUGGCUUGCCCACCACUUGACUGCCCCAAGGAGAUGCACCUGUACACUUCCUCAGUAUUUUACCUGCUAUGAAGACCAUGAAUGGCAGGAGGCUGGUCCACGGCAGUGCUGUAGUUUCCACUGCAAUGAAAAAUGAGUGCAGAGCCUGGGGGCCUCGGUCAUCCUUCUGGCUGGUCGCCAACCACCUGGGUUGGCAGCUCCACGCUCUGCCCGGAGCUGGAACAGCAAACACUCUUCUUGCCAUGAUUUAUGAUCCAUCCUACUGAGCUCAGUGAGGCUUUCCUGGGAGCAGGCAUGAAUCACACUAGGAGUGUGUGCUAGGCCUGGCCCUCGGUGAAUAUUGCUCUAUCAGUAGCCUGUGUUCCCAAGAUAGAGCAGUUCACUGAGGCAGAGCUCAGUCCAAAAGACAAAGGUCUUGUGUUUGGAUUUCUGCCCUAGGGAGAAAUCUCUGAAUUACCAGAGAGCCAGAAGACAAAACAAUAACCAUCGAGCGCGUAUGGAGAGCACAGCAGCAGGAGGGCAACGCUCACCCUUGGUCUACAUGAGAGAGCUGCUGUGUGACCCUGGUGAGACACCUCACUGGAAACUGUUGAAUGAGUCAAGUUGCCUCCAGCAGCUGAAGGGCCAGAGCUCUAGGUUCACUGCGGGGCUGCAACAGGCUGUGGGAACGAACCACCGCAGCCACCACUGCCCUGCUGGGCCCCAGAAACCUGUGAAACUGCUGUAGCAGCUGCUGGCAGCAGUCUGUCCAUGCUCCUCGCUGCAGAAAGCAAACCAAAAAGGAAGAGGUGACUGAAGUCAUUGCCUACUGCAGCGUGCCUCAACCCAUAGAGCAGGUAGCCCUGGCAGCUCUGCGGAGCUGUGCUGGAAACAGAGGCACCAUCCUGCUUGGAGCUACACCCAGCCUGGAAAGUGGAGGCAGGAACAGCUUCAAAAAUUGCAGCGAGGUUUGCCAGAGCUCUGCUGUCAGAGCCCUGCUGCUGCCUUAGCAUGCACACAAGCCUUUGGGGCAAACUCGCCUCUACGCUUGUGACCCAUCAGCUGCCCCAGGGAUCAUGGAAGGGGACACCCCGUCUGGGACUGUUCUUGGCAGGGUGCUCUGGUUCCACCACCACACUGCCUGGAGCCGGGAUACCCCAUCAGCUGCAUGCCUGGUGCAGGGAGAGCAGCUCCUGCCCUCGGCUGCAUACCGCUAUGUCGGCCUCCCUCUCCCUCUUCCCGUUUACCCCAUCAGAGGGAUGAGAAUCUAUCCCUCACACGCUUAUUUAGGGGAAGAGGCCUCAAAAUCUUCCAGAUGCCACCAAAAAUGUGGCUCCCCCCCCCCCCAGUCCCUCCAUACAGGAAGAAGUAAUCAAGGUAGGCCCCUUCCCAGUCUUCCCUCCAGACCCAAAGUCAGCUUCAGAUAAGACCACACCAGCAACCCUGCUCCGUGCAAGCAGAGGGGAAACGCAUCAGGAUCCUGAAGGCUCCCCAAGGAGAAUUAAACUACAGAGGAAGGACUUAAAACUAUGCACAGACCAACUCCCCUCUCUCCCACCACGGCUGAAGUGAAUUGCUUCAGCUGAGCAGGCACUCGAGGAAAAACGAACGGCUUCCCGGGAAGAGGCCCAGCAUGCACGCAGCGGCCCACGGCGCGUGCAGCGAUGUGCGCACGCUGCAGGGCUCGGCGCCGAGCAGCGAGAACGGAAAGGGACGGACGGGAUGCACGGCUGUAUACACAGUGCAUGUAUACAAAAGCAUAGGAGCGGGCGUGGAGCGGCUGUGCGGAGAUGCACAUUUAGACAUAUUUAAAGAGAGUGUUUGAAGAGCUAGA
Struthio camelus australis is the source of this 4403-nucleotide long non-coding RNA. RefSeq lists it as uncharacterized. The record is from RefSeq and is a predicted model, not a curated record. Lineage: Eukaryota; Metazoa; Chordata; Aves; Struthioniformes; Struthionidae.